This 492-nucleotide long non-coding RNA is filed under the name Salvia miltiorrhiza (redroot sage). RNAcentral describes it as "long non-coding RNA (SMIL_LNC012984)". Lineage: Eukaryota; Viridiplantae; Streptophyta; Magnoliopsida; Lamiales; Lamiaceae. The record is from RNAcentral.
CACCACCAACCAAGCAGGAUAAAACAAUAAAGCUAACAAAAAGAUAAAAGUGAUACACAUAUCUACUCUCACCCCCCUCCCCCAAACAUAUUACAGAACAUAAGUUCGAAAAUAAGUUUGGAGGGAUGAUGAUAUGUGUGUCACUACUCACAGAAAAAAUAUGGUCCAUGGUGGUGGUAUGAACCAAGCGCGAGUUCCCGCAUCUUCCAAGCACAACGCUGCACUAAAAACCCCAAAACAAAGAAAACAAAGAAAACAAAGAAACAAAAAGAAACUAAACGAAAGGAAAACAAAACAAAGAAAACGGUUGGGUUACCUCCCAACAAGUGCUUAAUUUAACGUAUAGAGCUUGACGAUACCUCAAAAACUCAUGGAGGUCGGAAACAGCACUCUAACCAUUGGAAAGCUUUUCUACUCUUGGGUGCCCUCUCCACAAAAACACUUCUCUUGGCUUGGACAUCCUCCACAAGCAUUGCCCCCUUCUCAUUCUUG